UGGGGCGUCGACUAGUGGUAAGUCACAUGCCUUUGGAGCAUGGUACCUAGGUUCGAAUCCUAGCGCCCCAGCCA
Molecule: transfer RNA, 74 nt
Filed under: Acidobacteria bacterium RIFCSPLOWO2_12_FULL_54_10
Lineage: Bacteria; Pseudomonadati; Acidobacteriota
Also listed under: 1 other name
Description: tRNA-Gln
Rfam family: tRNA
About the family: Transfer RNA (tRNA) molecules are approximately 80 nucleotides in length. Their secondary structure includes four short double-helical elements and three loops (D, anti-codon, and T loops). Further hydrogen bonds mediate the characteristic L-shaped molecular structure. tRNAs have two regions of fundamental functional importance: the anti-codon, which is responsible for specific mRNA codon recognition, and the 3' end, to which the tRNAs corresponding amino acid is attached (by aminoacyl-tRNA synthetases). tRNAs cope with the degeneracy of the genetic code in two manners: having more than one tRNA (with a specific anti-codon) for a particular amino acid; and 'wobble' base-pairing, i.e. permitting non-standard base-pairing at the 3rd anti-codon position.
Source: RNAcentral